This is a non-coding RNA of Cordylochernes scorpioides, 79 nucleotides long. Lineage: Eukaryota; Metazoa; Arthropoda; Arachnida; Pseudoscorpiones; Chernetidae. The record is from the annotation of a GenBank genome assembly.
UGUCCAGGGGCGGGAAUCGAACCCACAACCUUCUGCUUACCGGGCAGGUGCCAUGUCCACUAGGCUACUUCGCCAAUAC